GCUUUCGGAAAUCGCCUGGCGAGCCUUCUAAGCUUGGAGUUGCAGGUUCGAGUCCUGCCGGGCGCG
Molecule: transfer RNA, 66 nt
Filed under: Altererythrobacter sp. Root672
Lineage: Bacteria; Pseudomonadati; Pseudomonadota; Alphaproteobacteria; Sphingomonadales; Erythrobacteraceae
Source: Rfam by way of RNAcentral